RNAcentral lists this ribosomal RNA (492 nucleotides) under uncultured bacterium. RNAcentral's name for it is "partial 16S ribosomal RNA". It matches the Rfam family "Bacterial small subunit ribosomal RNA", at positions 29 to 507 of the family's 1533-position model. The record is from RNAcentral.
AGUGAACGCUGGCGGUAGGCCUAACACAUGCAAGUCGAACGGCAGCACAGUAAGAGCUUGCUCUUACGGGUGGCGAGUGGCGGACGGGUGAGGAAUACAUCGGAAUCUACUUUUUCGUGGGGGAUAACGUAGGGAAACUUACGCUAAUACCGCAUACGACCUACGGGUGAAAGCAGGGGAUCUUCGGACCUUGCGCGAUUGAAUGAGCCGAUGUCGGAUUAGCUAGUUGGCGGGGUAAAGGCCCACCAAGGCGACGAUCCGUAGCUGGUCUGAGAGAAUGAUCAGCCACCCUGGAACUGAGACACGGUCCAGACUCCUACGGGAGGCAGCAGUGUGGAAUAUUGGACAAUGGGCGCAAGCCUGAUCCAGCCAUACCGCGUGGGUGAAGAAGGCCUUCGGGUUGUAAAGCCCUUUUGUUGGGAAAGAAAAGCAGCAGGUUAAUACCCCGCUGUUCUGACGGUACCCAAAGAAUAAGCACCGGCUAACUUCGUG